GAACGGGCUGGCCAAGGGCGGCGGCGGCGGCUACAACAGCUACGGCGGCUACGGGGGCUACGGCGCCUACGGGGGCGGCGGCGGCGGCGGCUCGUACGGCGGCAGCGACUACGGCAACGGCUUCGGCGGCUUCGGCAGCUACAGCCAGCACCAGUCCUCGUACGGGCCGAUGAAGAGCGGCGGAGGCGGAGGCGGAGGCGGCGGCAGCUGGGGCGGCCGCAGCAACAGUGGACCGUACAGAGGCGGCUACGGCGGCGGCGGCGGCGGCGGCUACGGCGGAGGCUCGUUCUAGAAGCCGGGUUCCGGAUGCCAGCGGCGGCGGCGGCAGGCGCGGCCUCCCUCGCCCUCCGCGCCCACCCCAGGUGCCCCCGGGAGAGCCGCUCACCCCGGGGGGCGCGACCCCCGCUUGCCUGCCCGUCCCCGUCCCCCCGAAGGUGGACUCGGCCCCACACACACAUUUUUGUGUUACAGUCAUUGAUGGACUCUAUUUUUUUAUUAUUACUUGGACCUUGGUCGUUUUUAUACUAGCAAGAUGUCUCGUUUUAAUUUGUGUUUUUUGGGGGGGCGGCGGGCGGGGGGCUGAACUUGCUGAUUCUGUAGCAAAACCGGGGUGGGGGUUGGGUGGGAGGGUAGUUUACUUUGUUGUAAGGACUUGAUACCUGGCUACAGCGUUUUCUAUGAAACCUACUUGGAUCCCAUGCCUGAAAUUUGGAAGCAUAUGUACAAAAAUCAUUUUUACGUUUUAUUUUUAAUAAAUCAUUGUGUUUGACCGUACAUGUCUAACAUUUUUUUUCUAGGAUCCACUCCUUACCGUUUUAAAGGAAAUUUUUGUUAGGUUUUGAUGUGUACUUUGAGAAGCUUCAAGGAGGUCUUGUGGGUUCUUUUUUUUUUCUCCUUCCUGUUUGCCCAGUUAGUGAUGUGUUGAAUUUAACCUUUUACAGACAAAACGUUUUGAAGUGGUGGAUGUGGCUGUUCAGUUUCUGUGCAUCCAUCUCUGUAAUAAGCGGUUUGCUUAUCAUCUUGACAUGGUUGGUUCUUCUUUCUCUGAGAAUUUACUCAAAAUAUGUACUGUGUAGUUUUAAAAGAAACAGUUUGUGUUUAAAGCAUGUGUUCUCAUUCAUAUAAACUGUUUAAAACUUUUUUAGAUGACCUAGUUUCACCCUUAUUGGUUUGUCUGUAAUGAAUGGUUACAAAUAAGGGUUCUAUUUUACCCUAACACUAAAUGAGUUUUUUUAAGAUGUAUUUUCAGAGCAGGUUUAAAAAAAACCGUUUCUUCCCUAAGUCUGAACUUUGUCCUUUUAAGUCCAACCGAUGUAGCACCAUCUGCUGGUAGAGUGGCAGUAUAGCUGCAAGAAAGUUGGUUUAAAAAAACCAAUUUCAUCAGAUUUAGCAGUUUGCCACCAGAAGUCUGCAGACUUGAAAGGUCCGCAUUUACUUGUAGCUGAGACGGGCUUCCCAGGAGUGUAGUUAACAGCCCGUGAUCAGUCGCUUUUCUACGUGAGAUUUGAAUAUGUAAACUGCUAUGCAUAGCUUGGGCAGUAGCCCCAAACUGCUCUGAUAGCUACUGAAGCAGCUGUGUGUACUGGGGUUUUAGGUGCAAGUUGUAAAACAAAAUAUCUGUAUUCUGCUUGGUUAACGUGUAUUUGUAGCCCUUCAUGCAAUAGAAUUCAAGUUGUUGUUUAUAAAAAAAAAAACAAACACUGAUAAUAGGAGAAAAUUGCCUUCCUGAAUAGAAACAUAGAAUAGCAACGUUUAUGGAUAUCACAAAUAAAGACUUCAAUUCUUACAUG
Molecule: long non-coding RNA, 1790 nt
Filed under: Rattus norvegicus (Norway rat)
Lineage: Eukaryota; Metazoa; Chordata; Mammalia; Rodentia; Muridae
Description: long non-coding RNA NONRATT012235
Source: RNAcentral